AACGAACGCUGGCGGCAUGCCUAACACAUGCAAGUCGAACGAGACCUUCGGGUCUCGUGGCGCACGGGUGCUUAACGCGUGGGAACCUGCCCUUAGGUUCGGAAUAACUCCCCGAAAGGGGUGCUAAUACCGGAUAAUGUCUUCGGACCAACGAUUUAUCGCCUUUGGAUGGGCCCGCGUUGGAUUAGCUAGUUGGUAGGGUAAAAGCCUACCAAGGCGACGAUCCAUAGCUGGUCUGAGAGGAUGAUCAGCCACACUGGGACUGAGACACGGCCCAGACUCCUACGGGAGGCAGCAGUGGGGAAUAUUGGACAAUGGGCGAAAGGCUGAUCCAGCAAUGCCGCGUGAGUGAUGAAGGCCUUAGGGUUGUAAAGCUCUUUUACCCGGGAUGAUAAUGACAGUACCGGGAGAAUAAGCGCCGGCUAACUCCGUG
Molecule: ribosomal RNA, 433 nt
Filed under: uncultured bacterium
Lineage: Bacteria
Description: partial 16S ribosomal RNA
Rfam family: Bacterial small subunit ribosomal RNA
Source: RNAcentral